Molecule: RNA transcript, 1583 nt
Organism: Artibeus jamaicensis (Jamaican fruit-eating bat)
Lineage: Eukaryota; Metazoa; Chordata; Mammalia; Chiroptera; Phyllostomidae
Exons: 3
Source: RefSeq, a predicted model, not a curated record
CAGGCCCUGGCCCUCCCCCCUCCCCGGGAGGAGGGGAGUCCGGAGGGGGAGGAGAGACAGAAGAGGGGCUGCAGCCUUCCCAACACGAGCGCGGCACACUGAGGUCCGAAUGGCUGUCUAGAACUCACAGGAGCCUCCCGAGAGGUGGACGUGUGACCCAGGCCGCCCAGACCCUGAGAAGAGCCCCCAGGACGGAGGCAGCAGAGAGGAAGCUGGUGUGGCCUUUCUCGUCCACCUCCCCCCCCCCCCAACCCCCUCAACCCAGCACACCUGGGUGGACUCCAGCCUAAGUUCCACUGAUCUCAGGCAGUCAUACCCUCUCCCACCUUGUGCUUCUAAAGGUUAGUUUCUGGCAGCAGUUAGAGUGACUCCCUCUGUGUGAAGGACAGAGGUGGCGCCACCCCAGGGCUCCACACUGGGCACAGGGCACCCUUGUCAACAUCCAUCAUAAUGCAGGAUUUGACUAGGCCAGUCACACCAGCUCCCUGGGCCCCCAAAUCCUCAUCAGCAAACCCAGGGCAUGAAACCAGAACACUCCUGAGCCACCUCCGGGGCCCCCCAGUUGCCCCAUUCUGCGACUCUCCUCACCGCAUGGCACCGCUUCACCCUGCCCUCACCCAGGGGGAGUGGAUGGGUAACUGUGCCCUCUCCCCCCUAAUCCUCAGCUCCUCUCCUGGAUCCCACCCACAUCAAGGGGUCCCAGCAGUCGGGGGGCUCCCCUGGAAGUAACCCGAAGCUGACUCUCACCAUCAGAAUAGGUCUUCACAAUUUACUAUGCACUUGUCCACAUGUGUGACUUUGUUUCACCCUCUGCAAGGCAAGUAUCAUUAGCUCUACUUUAUAGACAAACAGUCUCGGGCCCCGUUGCCUGCUUAAAGUCACCUGGUGAGUCAGAGGCAGGGCUGCGUUUUGAACCCAGAUUUGCAUGGGGCUUGUGACCAGGGGAGGCCACCCCAGAAUCAAGCGGGGCCCCUGGGUCACCCUCCUCCUGAGGCUGCAGUGGGAACACCCAGGCACCUCCAUUUAGGGCUUGGCUCUGCAGAGCCCCAGCCUGGUGAUGUCAGCAUUGCCAUGGAAACUCCUUCCCAGCGUAGGCAGGACCAGCCUCCCCUUGCAGUUUCCCUUUGUGUGGACUUUGCAAUGUGUUGCCAAGGCAGUGGGGCCUGCUGGGCGGGUUGGCAAGGGGUGGGGAAGGCAGACCAAAGCCCACACCGCAUCCCAGCAACCAGCAGCUCACAACAAGGCCCCGGCGUGCUCUGGGGAGGGUGGGGCCCAGGCCAGGUCUCCUGAGCUGGUGGCCAAGGCCUUGAGGUUGGGGAGACCCUGCAUUCCUGCUCAGGACCCCUGCCUGGGAACAACCCUUUAACCUUUUUAGUUCUGUGUUGGGGUGCUGCCACCUCUGAAACAUCUGGGUCUUGUGAAAAGGCAAAUCUAGGCCCACCACAGACCUGCUUGGAAGGGGCCGAGGAAGAACUGUGGCUUAGCCGCGUCUCCAGGGCUCCUGAUGUCCCUGGUCCCUCCCCCUGCCAGGGUGGGGCUGGCUGCUGCCCCACUCCACAGAGAUUUCCCCCACCUCCUUGGAA